Meriones unguiculatus (Mongolian gerbil) is the source of this 703-nucleotide long non-coding RNA. RefSeq lists it as uncharacterized. The transcript has 3 exons. The record is from RefSeq and is a predicted model, not a curated record. Lineage: Eukaryota; Metazoa; Chordata; Mammalia; Rodentia; Muridae.
UGGCUUGCCGAUCCACCCCUGGGGUCCUCCUGUGUCCCUAGCACUGACUCAUGCCAGCACGAGUGACACUUUGUUCAUUUUGUUUCCUAUUGUUUCUCGUGACUUUGGGCAGUCAAAGGCAAGGCCUCAUGCUUUUGAGACCAGCACUUUGUCACGAGCUAUCUCACCAGCCAACGGACAACUGUUGACAGGCCUGAGUAGGGUACACUUCCGCUUUUGGUGAUGUAGGGAGCCUCAAGUCUUGAAGAAAACAGCUCUGUCCCUCUCUCAGGACCACAUCUGGAUCACUGAGGGCACAGGACAAACACUGCCCUGAAGCACGGACAGCCUUAGUCUUAAGAGUAAAGUUAAGGGCUCCAGGCCGUGUUGGUGCUGAAGACUGAACCUAUAGGGAGGGAGCCCACAUUCUUCAGUAUGAUCAUCCGUCGUGUAUUUUAUACUGGUCAAUGUCCGCUGCUCAUCUUCCUUUCAGCUGAAGCACCCGAGGCAGAGAGAGGGAAGUGAUACACUCCAGCAUACCAUGGCAACACAACUUCAUCUGUCAACUCUUGGCUUCAGCAUCUUGGGGAAUUCUGACAUAGGGAAAUAUUUCAAAGCAAUUGUAUUGUCCUUUGGAUGAAACCCAAAUCUAGUUGUUUUGAAGAUAAGAAAAAAGUUUCCCAUUAGGUCUGUUAUCAUAUUGUCAUUAAACAUUAUUUUUUUA